This 429-nucleotide ribosomal RNA is filed under the name Pseudomonadota bacterium. Its description in RNAcentral is "Proteobacteria bacterium partial 16S ribosomal RNA". It matches the Rfam family "Bacterial small subunit ribosomal RNA", at positions 355 to 776 of the family's 1533-position model. The record is from RNAcentral. Lineage: Bacteria; Pseudomonadati; Pseudomonadota.
UGGGGAAUAUUGGACAAUGGGCGAAAGCCUGAUCCAGCCAUGCCGCGUGUGUGAAGAAGGUCUUCGGAUUGUAAAGCACUUUAAGUUGGGAGGAAGGGCAGUAAGCGAAUACCUUGCUGUUUUGACGUUACCGACAGAAUAAGCACCGGCUAACUCUGUGCCAGCAGCCGCGGUAAUACAGAGGGUGCAAGCGUUAAUCGGAAUUACUGGGCGUAAAGCGCGCGUAGGUGGUUCGUUAAGUUGAAUGUGAAAGCCCCGGGCUCAACCUGGGAACUGCAUCCGGAACUGGCGAGCUAGAGUAGGGCAGAGGGGGGUGGAAUUUCCUGUGUAGCGGUGAAAUGCGUAGAUAUAGGAAGGAACACCAGUGGCGAAGGCGACCACCUGGGCUCAUACUGACACUGAGGUGCGAAAGCGUGGGGAGCAAACAGG